UACGUAGGGACCGAGCGUUGUCCGGAAUCAUUGGGCGUAAAGAGCGUGUAGGCGGCCACUUAAGUCCUGCGUGAAAUCUUGCGGCUCAACCGCAAGCGGUCGUGGGAAACUGGGUGGCUUGAGUGUGGGAGAGGGAUGCGGAAUUCCAGGUGUAGCGGUGAAAUGCGUAGAUAUCUGGAGGAACACCGGUGGCGAAGGCGGCAUCCUGGACCAUGACUGACGCUGAGGAGCGAAAGCCAGGGGAGCAAACGGG
This 253-nucleotide ribosomal RNA is filed under the name uncultured bacterium. RNAcentral's name for it is "partial 16S ribosomal RNA". It matches the Rfam family "Bacterial small subunit ribosomal RNA", at positions 524 to 776 of the family's 1533-position model. The record is from RNAcentral.